RNAcentral lists this long non-coding RNA (1644 nucleotides) under Homo sapiens (human). Its description in RNAcentral is "HSALNT0387514". Lineage: Eukaryota; Metazoa; Chordata; Mammalia; Primates; Hominidae. The record is from RNAcentral.
GCAGCACAGUGUGCUUUUGAGUUCCGGUGAACGGGGUGCUCUGGCUGGAGCCUAGUGCGAAGUUUCCCCUUCUCCGCCCAUUCCUCAUCCCUCAGGGCACACAGGUCACCUUUCCUCGCCUUCUCGUCCCCACCUCUAAGGCUUGGCCAAAGUUUCUUCAUAAAAGCAAGAAAGAUAACGAAAGAGCCCCCCAUGGGUUAUGGUUUUUGUGGGGCCAGGAAUGCCCAGUUUGAACCUCCAGUUCCGCCACCUGUAGCCGAGUGAAAGAGGCUGGGUUAUUCAGACACCCCAAGCCUCAGUUUCCCCACUUGUUGUGAGGCUUGAGUGUGCUAACACAUCAAGGCAACCCAGAACAGCGCUUGGCAGAGACUCGCAGUUUAUCACUGUGAACUGUCGUUAUUGGAAAGUGGGUGGAGUCGGGUUUGGAUUCCCCCAGGAGCAGAGACAGAAACAAAAGGAUUCAAGUGUGAAGAUAGAAGCUUCCUCCAGUGAAGCAGCAGCCCCGGCACUGGGCCUGCAGUGGAGACCGGGAAUGAGAGAAGCCCCUGGCGUGGGCUGGCAAGGACGCAGAGCACGGAGAGCACCUGGGGCAGGGCCGGCGCCAACGGCAUAACACAUGCUGCUGCUCCUCUCCCGCGGGGCCCAUGGAGAUGGCUGGAAGCAGCCCAACGUCAGGGCAGAUCCCUACCUUCACACUCACAUAAGAGAAGAGUGAAGUUUCGGGGACUCCACACCUCAAGGUAGUUCCACCGUGCGAGGUGCUGCGCUCACAGUAUUACUCAUGCACCUUUCUGAUAAGAAAAGUGAAAAUGUGAAGUUGAAAACUGAAGACGCCCAGCAACUUCCUGAAUCCAGCCCUCCACGUCCUGCCCUACGGGACGGACGACUCCCAAAGAGGAAUCGUUGGUGGAAGUCCCAUGUUUCGUUGCCGUUGGAAGGGGGAACUGGUCAAGGCAGGGCUCAUCUCUGGACCCACACCCCAUAACCAACAUGGAAGCCUGGAUUUGGCCCUGGAUCAGGCUGGCUCCCCAGGGAAGGGUCCAGUCUCUCCGGGGAGACAUCCCGACUUCGGGUCCUGCUUUCUCUACUGUAAUUCGAGGCUGGCCAUGCCCCUCAGUGGGCCUCAGUUUCCUCACCUGUACAGUGGGGAAAUCCAUAGGACCUACCUCCUGGGAGGGCACUGAGGACCGAGGGAAUGAAUGCCUGUCCAGUGCUCAUGAUCGUGACAAGCACUGCGCAGAAUAAAUCCGGAAUAAACGCUCACCGGGUGAGGGAGGGCAGGGAAGAUUUCUAAAAUCCCCCUGAUUUGAGAUGAGAUCUGAUUCACCCACUUAAAAAACCACAUUGGGAAAUAAUUUGAAAUGUACAGGAAAGUUGUAAGAAUCGCACAAAGAAUACUCCCAAACGUUUUGCCCAUACUCACCUGUUUUCUGUGGCAACUUUGAGACAGAAUUCACACGCCAUACAGUUGACCCAUCUCAACUGUACAAUUCAAUGGCCUUUCAUAGUCAGAGUUGUGCAACUGUCACCAGGGUCAAUUUUAGAACGUUUUCAUCACUCUCCUCUCACAAAAAACCCCUCACGUCCCUUGGCUGUCACUCUGCACCUAUUAAUAUUUUUUUGUGUUAAGACUUUUUCUUUGAG